RNAcentral lists this ribosomal RNA (954 nucleotides) under uncultured Halomicrobium sp. Its description in RNAcentral is "partial 16S ribosomal RNA". It matches the Rfam family "Archaeal small subunit ribosomal RNA", at positions 6 to 960 of the family's 1478-position model. Lineage: Archaea; Methanobacteriati; Methanobacteriota; Halobacteria; Halobacteriales; Haloarculaceae. The record is from RNAcentral.
GGUUGAUCCUGCCGGAGGCCAUUGCUAUCGGAGUCCGACUUAGCCAUGCUAGUUGCGCGGGUUCAGCCCCGCAGCGUAUAGCUCAGUAACACGUGGCCAAACUACCCUAUGGACAGGGACAACCUCGGGAAACUGAGGCUAAUCCCUGAUACAGCUCUCAUGCUGGAGUGCCGAGAGCUGGAAACGCCCCGGCGCCAUAGGAUGUGGCUGCGGCCGAUUAGGUAGAUGGUGGGGUAACGGCCCACCAUGCCGAUAAUCGGUACGGGUUGUGAGAGCAAGAGCCCGGAGACGGAAUCUGAGACAAGAUUCCGGGCCCUACGGGGCGCAGCAGGCGCGAAACCUUUACACUGCACGACAGUGCGAUAAGGGGACUCCGAGUGCGAGGGCAUAUAGUCCUCGCUUUUCUGUACCGUAGGGAGGUACAGGAACAAGUACUGGGCAAGACCGGUGCCAGCCGCCGCGGUAAUACCGGCAGCACAAGUGAUGGCCGAUAUUAUUGGGCCUAAAGCGUCCGUAGCCGGCCGGACAAGUCCGUUGGGAAAUCCACGCGCUCAACGCGUGGGCGUCCAGCGGAAACUGUCCGGCUUGGGGCCGGAAGACCUGAGGGGUACGUCCGGGGUAGGAGUGAAAUCCUGUAAUCCUGGACGGACCACCGGUGGCGAAAGCGCCUCAGGAAGACGGACCCGACGGUGAGGGACGAAAGCUAGGGUCUCAAACCGGAUUAGAUACCCGGGUAGUCCUAGCCGUAAACAAUGCUCGCUAGGUGUGCCGCAGGCUACGAGCCUGCGCUGUGCCCUAGGGAAGCCGAGAAGCGAGCCGCCUGGGAAGUACGUCUGCAAGGAUGAAACUUAAAGGAAUUGGCGGGGGAGCACUACAACCGGAGGAGCCUGCGGUUUAAUUGGACUCAACGCCGGACAUCUCACCGGCACCGACAGUAGUUAUGACGGUCAGGUU